Molecule: ribosomal RNA, 446 nt
Filed under: uncultured bacterium
Lineage: Bacteria
Description: partial 16S ribosomal RNA
Rfam family: Bacterial small subunit ribosomal RNA
Source: RNAcentral
CCUACGGGCGGCAGCAGUCGAGAAUCAUUCACAAUGGAGGCAACUCUGAUGGUGCGACGCCGCGUGCGGGAAUGAAGGUCUUCGGAUUGUAAACCCCUGUCAUGUGGGAGCAAAUUACGAAGAUAGUACCACAUUAGGAAGAGCCUGCUAACUCUGUGCCAGCAGCCGCGGUAAUACAGAGGACUCAAGCGUUGUUCGGAAUCACUGGGCGUAAAGGGUGCGUAGGCGGUUUCGUAAGUCGUGUGUGAAAGGCUCGGGCUCAACCCCCGGACGGCACAUGAUACUGCGAGGCUAGAGUAAUGGAGGGGGAGGCGGAAUGCUCGGUGUAGCAGUGAAAUGCGUAGAGAUCGAGAAGAACACUCGUGGCGAAGGCGGGUUACUGGACAAUAACUGACGCUGAGGCACGAAGGCCAGGGGAGCGAAAGGGAUUAGAUACCCUUGUAGUC